This is a long non-coding RNA of Neofelis nebulosa (Clouded leopard), 2467 nucleotides long. RefSeq lists it as uncharacterized. The transcript has 4 exons. The record is from RefSeq and is a predicted model, not a curated record. NCBI's taxonomy places the organism in Eukaryota, Metazoa, Chordata, Mammalia, Carnivora, Felidae.
CGAAGUCAGAUGCUCAACCGACUGAGCCACCCAGGCGCCCCCAGAUUUGUGUUUUCUGAAGAUCUCCGUGGAGGUCGGAUGGAGGCUGGGCUGGGAAGACAGCAAGCAGACGCUGCUCCUGAAGGACGCAGUGGAAACACUCGGAACCGAGGACCUUCGGUCUCCGAUGACGUUCACGUACCCUGACUUCCUGAUCUGUAGCUUUUUCCCCCAGUGUAAAUAAAUCCCCCCGUGGCUGAUUUCAAGCUAGCAGCGUGAGGUCACCAGAGGCAGACUUGGCAAGAGGUUAUGUAGCCCCUUUGCGGACACAGUGAAAAAUAUCAGGGCUGAAGUAUUUCCGCGUGCCCCCCACGGAGCAGGCUCCAUGGGGAGAAGGUGGGGGAGAGAGCUUUGGACAUUGUAGGCAGGUGACCCAAAUGUGAGGUGGCGGGCAGAGGACAGGCCAACAUGCAAUCCACUCUGUUUCCAUUAGCACUGGCUGGGCAGGGGCUUGUCCUUCUUAGACACGUGGUUUGGGCGGGAUGGCCCGACGCCCUGUGCCCAACCGGUGCGAGCAAUGAGUGAACCCCGUCCCCAGACGGCGGCCGUUGGCUCAGGGAUGAGUAUUUAGCCGAUCAGAACCCGUGACAUGUGAGAAGAUGCUUCUUGGGGCUCCUAAGAUUGUCUUCUUUUUUCCUUUCCAAGGGAGCCACCAGAGGAAGCCCUCUGCCUUCCUCGGAAUGGGCACAUGAGAGGGCUUGUACAGAAGUUCAAAGAUGGAUUACCAUCUGCCACGCGUUAGGCUCCGUUCUAGGGGUUAGAGAUACAGCAGAGAACGAAGAUCUGCGUUCACAAAGUUGGCACGCACUCCUUCCUACCUGUUUGUUUAUUGAACGCCAGGCCACUGUCUCAAGUGAACGGGGGACAUCUGAUUACCCUCUUUGGCAGAAGAGGAAAGAGGGGGAGACUGAGUCACGGAGACGUCGGCUUCCGCUUUGGUACAGGAAGGCGUGAGGUGGGGCUUCCAACCCCGUUCGUCUGCCUCUAAAGCCUGAGCCUGUAAGACCUCACGGGGCACAGCUUGUGGCCGGUCUGUGACUCGUUCAUUCGCCGAACAGCCUGCCGGGCUCCGAAACGGCCCUGCCCGAGAUGGUAGUAGCCGCAUGUGGCUUUCGAGAUUCAAACGAAGUAAAACGGAAGGUUUGGCUGCUCCGUCUCCGCGAGAUCAAACGCGUCCAGGAUAUGUCACUGCGGAAAGUCCUAGUGGCCAGCAGCAGCCCGGGGAAGCAGGUGAACAGGUCUCUACUUGGCUUUCAGAUCCGGGGCCAAGUCCCAGGUAUGGGAAUCUCAUGGAUCAGUAAGAACCUUACAAACUACGUGCAGAGAGUGGAAAGAGCUGGAGAAGUUACUGGCGAUGCACGUGACUGAGGAAGGGCUCUGGGCGGGAGACGCACAGAACGCCCCCCAAAUCACAACAAGACUCGAACAGGCACUUUCCAAAGGAGAGCGCCCAGUCAAUGCGUCUAUGAACCGGUGCUCAAUCUUCUUAGCAAUCAGAGGAGGGGUGGUUAAAGCCACAAUAAGAUACUACUCACACCCAUCAGAGUGGCUCAAAUUAAAAAGACGCUCGAUACAGAGUAUUGGCGAGGAUGUAAAGGGCGUGAUGGGCGCAGUGUCUUUGGAGACCUCAGCAAAGUUGGAUGUAUUCCUACCUGUGAUCCGGCAAUGCCACAGCUUGGGGUGUGUGUGUGUGUGUAUGUGUGUGCGUGCCAGCAGACGUGUAAGCCCGAGUCACAAAAUGCAUGCACGACAGGUUCCGAGCAGCGCUGUUGGUAAUAGGUCCAAAGUGGCAAAAACUGGAAUUACCCAUCAUGCAGUGGGAUGAUCGUAUACCCCCAAAUCAAUGAGCCUGUGCCGGAUGCGACAACGUGCAUGGAUGUCAGGAACACGUUGGACAAAAAUCAACCCCAGGGACGAAGGAAUAGGUGACAUAAUUCCAGUCGGAAAACGGGAAACGGAGUAUUGCGCCAGAAAUCAGGGUGGUGGUUUCCUCCGGAGAGGAGGGAGGUGGUGACGAAAAACAAGGGACAGCAGGAGAGCUCCCGGGGUGCUGGCGAUAUUGGAGUGUUUUGACCUGGAUGGCGGUUACACAGAUGUUCGUUUUAUGACAAUUCGGGGUAGAGCCUCGUUUGGUGUGUGCUAUGUGGCACAAUUAAAAAUCAAAGCAAAAAUAUUUUCUGAGCCUUGUCAUAGCUUUUUGUUUCGCCUCCUUUUUAAAAAAAAUUUUAAUGAUUUAUUUUUUAUAUUAGAGAGAGACAGAGAGACAGAGAGUGAGUAGGGGAGGGGCAGAGAGGCAGAGACAGAAUCCGAAGCAGGCUCCAGGCUCCGAGCUGUCCGCACAGAGUCCGACGCGGGGCUCAGACUCACAAACCGUGAGAUCAUGACCUGAGCCGAAGUCGGACGCUCAACCGACUGAGCCACCCAGGCG